AGAGUCGCCCGGAUCACCGCGUUGCGUAAGCACCGAGGAAAGUCCGGACUCCACAGAGCAAGGUGAUGGCUAACAGCCAUCCGGAGCAAUCCGCGGGAUUAGUGCCACAGAAAUUAAACCGCUCAUGCAAAUGAGUAAGGGU
Molecule: RNase P RNA, 142 nt
Filed under: Actinomycetota bacterium
Lineage: Bacteria; Bacillati; Actinomycetota
Description: Actinobacteria bacterium partial RNase P RNA component class A
Rfam family: Bacterial RNase P class A
About the family: Ribonuclease P (RNase P) is a ubiquitous endoribonuclease, found in archaea, bacteria and eukarya as well as chloroplasts and mitochondria. Its best characterised activity is the generation of mature 5'-ends of tRNAs by cleaving the 5'-leader elements of precursor-tRNAs. Cellular RNase Ps are ribonucleoproteins.
Source: RNAcentral